This 518-nucleotide long non-coding RNA is filed under the name Malus domestica (apple). RNAcentral's name for it is "long non-coding RNA (MDOM_LNC003405)". Lineage: Eukaryota; Viridiplantae; Streptophyta; Magnoliopsida; Rosales; Rosaceae. The record is from RNAcentral.
GUUUGUAUAUGCUUUGAGAUCACAAAUGCCAAAAAUCACAAAAAACAAACAUUCAGAGAUCAAGUAAUGAGACAAAACUUUUCGACGGUGAUAAAACAAAAAAUCACGAUUUAACGGUUAUUUUAACUUCGAUUUUGAUAAUUUUUUACUAGUACACUUUUUGACCCUAUACGAAUACAAUGAAUGAAUUUGAUCGUCAAUUUAAAAUAUUUACACAAGUGGAUACCACAAAAUCUUAUGUUAUACUUAAUGAAAGUAUAAAUAAACUCUAAGUGUUAGUGAAUCUAUCGUUUUGAUGGGAUACGAAUUCUAUGAAACUAAUUUCAACGAUCCAACCAUCAAUCUUGUUUGUAUAUGCUUCGAGAUCGCAUACGCCAAAAAUCACAAAAAAAAAACAUUCAGAGAUCAAGUAAUGAGACAAAACUUUUCGACGGUUAUAAAACAAAAAAUCACGAUUUAACGGUUAUUUUAACUUCGAUUUUGAUAAUUUUUUACAACUACACUUGUUGACCCUAUAU